UCCAGCGCACUCACCUAUCCACUAAACAGCAACUUCAAAAUUGAAAGAUUUUAUUUGUUUUUUUUAAAAACACCUAAUCUAGGCAAAAUUAUUUUUGCCUAGAUUAGGUGUUUUUAAAAAAAACAAAUAAAAUCUUUCAAUUUUGAAGUUGCUGUUUAGUGGAUAGGUGAGUGCGCUGGA
Molecule: microRNA precursor, 180 nt
Filed under: Pelobates cultripes (western spadefoot toad)
Lineage: Eukaryota; Metazoa; Chordata; Amphibia; Anura; Pelobatidae
Source: RNAcentral